This 396-nucleotide long non-coding RNA is filed under the name Brassica napus (rape). RNAcentral's name for it is "long non-coding RNA (BNAP_LNC017470)". The record is from RNAcentral. Lineage: Eukaryota; Viridiplantae; Streptophyta; Magnoliopsida; Brassicales; Brassicaceae.
UGACCAUUGAAAACAAAUUGCCAAAUAUGUUUGUAGUGGUUAUUGAAAAUUUACAUAAAUAUUGGUUGAGUGUAUCACUUUAAAAUAUGGUUUCUAAAUAAUUAAUGCUAAUUAUUUUAACUUUCCAAACAAUCUGAAAACCUACCUAUGUCUACUAUAUAUAUGCGGUUGAGUUUUUUCUUAGAAAUACCAUUAAAUUUUUUCACAACUUUUAAUUUAUGAUUAUAGGAGUAGAUGAUAUCACAUUUUAACUAUUUGAUUUUGCUUUCUAUACUUUUUUUAUGUGUGCCAAAUAUUUAUAGUUAGUUAAUUAUUUUAUAUUGAGAAAAACAUAAAUGCCAAACAUAUUUUGACCACAAGAACACAUGUAUUCAGAAAUUAUCAGAUUUUACAAUA